UACGGAGGGUGCGAACGUUAAUCGGAAUCACUGGGCGUAAAGCGCGCGUAGGCGGUUUGUUAAGUGGGAUGUGAAAGCCCCGGGCUUAACCUGGGAAUUGCGUUUCAAACUGACGAGCUAGAGUGCGGUAGAGGGAGGUAGAAUUUCCUGUGUAGCGGUGAAAUGCGUAGAUAUAGGAAGGAAUACCAGUGGCGAAGGCGGCCUCCUGGAUCGACACUGACGCUAAGGCGCGAAAGCGUGGGGAGCAAACAGG
RNAcentral lists this ribosomal RNA (253 nucleotides) under uncultured bacterium. RNAcentral describes it as "partial 16S ribosomal RNA". It matches the Rfam family "Bacterial small subunit ribosomal RNA", at positions 524 to 776 of the family's 1533-position model. The record is from RNAcentral.